UCUGGCCUGGAGAAUCCCAAGGACAGAGGAGCCUGGCAGGCUACAGUCCAUAGCGUCACACAAAGUCGAACUCGACUGAAGCGACUUAGCACAUGCACCCUUUAUAAGACUUUGUUCUGAUGGGCAGCUCCAGAGACCCUUGAGAGGAAAAAGGGUGACCUAGAAGUGACUUCUCCCCAAUGGCCAGUGUUUGUUCUCAGAUGCGCAAUCUCCUGAGUCUCCCAGGAGGCAGGUGAGGUUUGGAGAACACUGAACUUAGAGUCAGAUAGGCCAGGAGUCCAGCUGCAGCUUUGCCAUUUACAAGCUGUAAUCAGGAAAGGAAAGGACCCUGGGUGACUCACUUAUCAUUUCCAGGCCUCCAUAAAGGAUUAACAGCAGAGUGUAAGUAAAAAAGAGCUCUGGAAACUGGCAGCAGUUAUUAAUACAAACUCAUGGAUGAACAAAGGCUAUUUUGUUGCUUUGGCAGGAGAAAAUCCAAUGUCUUGAGGAUCAUAAAACACCAUGAAUGAAUGAGUCUGGUCUAUAGGAAAUAGAAGAGCUUGAGAAAGAAAAAUCAUUUUAGUUUUGAGAAAUGAUUUGGACUUUGAGAACAUACUUCUUGGUGAGUAAAGAGAUGGGGCAGCCUGAUUUGGUAGGAGAGAACAAGAUGAAUAUUCAGGAAGCCGGAAACAAGGGCUCUUAAUAAACAGUAAUAGUGAUGGUGAUGAUGGUGAUAAUGAUGAUGGUGGUGGUGGUGAUGGUGAUGAUGGUGGCGGUGAUGAUGGUGAUGGUGGUGGUGAUGUUGAUGGUGAUGAUUGUGAUGGCAGCUAAUACAGAGCAUGUACUAUGUGUCAAUGUGCUAAGAGCUUUGCAAAUAUGAACUCAACUAAUCCCCUGAACAUCCCUAUUUGGUAGAUACAAUUAUCAUUCUCAUUUUACAGAUGAGGACAAACAAGGCACAGAAGAAAGAUUAACCAACUUGCUCCAGGUCACACAGCUGGUAAAUGAGGGAGCUAGGAUUUGAGCCCAAGGCCACAGGGUUUCAUAGAUUCCACAUACCUGGGACCAGACAGGAGCUCAGAAGAGCUGCAAAGCCAGAGUGCUUGAGACAGACAGACUUUGAAGACAAACGCUGUGUUUAUGAGUCAGCGUCUAUUUGGAGACAACUUGCAGUGAACAUUCUUGACCGACAGCCUCCACCAGGAGGAACUGAGAUUGCCCAGAACUUCCCCUGCGGUUCAAGAUGGACUCUGGCGUGGAAAGCUGGGGCCCUUCUGCGGGUGUGCCCUUGGCUGGUGUCUCUUGGUUCACCCAGAGGCAGUCUCCCCUUCUCCUUCCUCUGAUCUCUCUUCUCCUGCCCACCUGCUCCCCCUCCCCCAAGCACGGCUGGGUCAGGCCAGUCAUGGGAUGGACAGA
This 1395-nucleotide long non-coding RNA is filed under the name Capra hircus (goat). RNAcentral describes it as "lncRNA (ENSCHIG00010012695.1)". The record is from RNAcentral. Lineage: Eukaryota; Metazoa; Chordata; Mammalia; Artiodactyla; Bovidae.